AUUAUCUCACCCCUAGACAAAGCAUUAGGUCGCAACUUCUUGAAACAAGCAAAGAAUAUUGAUAUAAAAAGCUGCUACAAAUCAGAAGUUGUUCCAAAAAAACACCUUCCAGCGCUCAGAAAUCUCCAAAACUUAGAAAAACUCCUGAAAAGGAUCCAGGUAAAUUUAAGUUGGGUUACAUUUGUUUCUUCUAGUGAAUUUCAAUGUAUCUAAAACAGUAGGUUUCUGACCAAUAAACUAUCAGGUAGAUUUAAUACUUUGACUGCGUACGAUUUUUAGCCAAUUCCUGCCUAAAGCAGCAGGUUUAAGUGAUUGUUUUUAAGUCAUGUGCAGUUUUUUUUAAUUGUACCACUGCUCUCAAGAACAGAGAAACAAGUUUUUUUAUUACUCAAUCGGCAUCUAGCGUUGGCCCAGCACAGUGCCAGGCCAUGUUUGGCAACGCCACAACCAAACUGCUAAGGAAAGCAAUUUUUCAUAAGGGUUAAAGAUUGUUCUCUGAUAAAUGUAUCUAGGAAUGUACUAUUUAUCCUAUUGUUACCGUAGUACAUGCAUAAGAAUUUCUUUUAUGGUCUUUUAAUUUGCAUACAUACACAUUGCUAAUUGAUCAGUGUCUUUUACAGAUGGCUGGGAAACAGUUGUUGGACGAUCAAGGCGGAGCAAUCCAUUGACACAAAGUUCCAGCAGUCUCAAAUUGAGGAACAGUGUCACAAAUUGUGAACCCAGUAACCGAUACUAUUUGCCAAGCCCUGCAACAUCCUUACCUGCACUGGCGCUAAGUAUGGAGAAAGAGUCUAAAGAUGUUGAAAAGAAUAACAAACAGCAGAAAAACAAAGAAAAUUGGGAAAUAGCCAAAAUGAAUCAAAGAAAUAAGCUGAAGAGUGUGAAAAACGCAGAGAUGGAAAAGGAUAGACCAAUUAUGAGCCAUCUUGGAGCAGCACGCCAAAGUGCUGUAAAAACCAAGCAAAAGGAUUUGAAAGUUCAAGAUGGAAAAAAGAAAGAUGGUGAUUUUGAAAAGAGGAAAGUCUUGAGCAAGGAAAAUGAAAAGAGUAAGGGGGGAAAGAGAAUAAUAGACCAUUCAAAGACGGAAUUAUUGGAAGAUGAAUUAUUGGACAAGGAAGAAAUUCGAAAAAGUAAAGAGCUUGAUGAAGAAGAGAAAAAUCUACAAAAGGAGAUCCAGGUUCUUGAAUCAACAGAAAUAGAGAUUGACACCGAAACGGAUGAAGUUGAAACUGACUGGGAAAGUAGCAGUGAACUUGCUAAAGACGAUGCAGAUCUUCUAACCGAUAAAGAUCUCUUGGAUGAAAGGUAUAGAUCCAUGUUAAUGGGCAUGCCGUGGGCAGAUCAGAUGGAAGCUUUAGAUAAACUGGAAACGCUAAUGGCUAUGGACACGAGCAGCACAGGAUUAAGUUGGGGUGAAAGAAUGAAAACUUUGGAGCAGCUUGAAGAAAUUGUAGCCCGCUCACCAGGCCGUGCACUGAGCUCCAUCAGAAAUUAUCCUCACCAUCAAGACGGCGGACAAUCCCUGAUGCAAUCAACCGUCAUCAGGCACGCCAAGCCAGAGCCCAGAAGAAGCGACAAGAGCUGCUUAAAAAAAAAUCUUCCAAACUGCGUUGGCUAUUGA
This 1621-nucleotide long non-coding RNA is filed under the name Bemisia tabaci. Its description in RNAcentral is "lncRNA ENSSSA3NGG002660". The record is from RNAcentral. Lineage: Eukaryota; Metazoa; Arthropoda; Insecta; Hemiptera; Aleyrodidae.